RNAcentral lists this unclassified non-coding RNA (245 nucleotides) under Hevea brasiliensis (rubber tree). Lineage: Eukaryota; Viridiplantae; Streptophyta; Magnoliopsida; Malpighiales; Euphorbiaceae. The record is from RNAcentral.
GAGAUUAUCGAAAAUGUGUUUCUGAGCAAAGGUCUAGUAUUCUAUCCAUUGAUGGACUCCCUAUUAUAAAUAGGUUGCGCCUUAGGAUGUCAUUGGAGAAUGUANNNNNNNNAUUGAUCUCAGACAAUUCUUGGACUUAUGGUGAUUUCAUGGAAGUGGAAUCCCGGAUAAUGAAAGCCUUGCAACCACAGCUUUUUCUAGACCCUACUCCCAAAUUGGAUAGGCUUUGUAAUGAUCCAACUCCG